Non-coding RNA from Podarcis lilfordi (Lilford's wall lizard), 2678 nucleotides. NCBI's taxonomy places the organism in Eukaryota, Metazoa, Chordata, Lepidosauria, Squamata, Lacertidae. The record is from the annotation of a GenBank genome assembly.
GACAAUGGGAUCACUUUUCCCUUGAAUCAAUCCUUGAAGACGAAUCCCUUGUUGUACCAAAUGCAAUGGAUUCCACUUUGGUUUUGGGCACAAUUGAAAAUGCUGGUGAUAACUGUGGUUUAGCACUUGAGUAUUUAUUUAUUCAUUCAUUCAUUCAUUCAUUCAUUUUCUUGGAUCUGUAUUCUGUCCGUGGAACCCAAUGUGACACAGAUGUGAUUCCCAGGCAGGUUGGUCAUCAGGCACUGACCAGAGCAAGACAUACUUAAGCUUCAGCAAGGUGAUGAUCUCAUUUGCCUUCAGAUCACAUCCUGGAAUAUCUGAAGGACUGCUUUCUCCCAUACAAGUUUGCUGACCUGGACAUGGGUGGUACUGUGGUCUAAACCACUGAGCCUCUUGGGCUUGCCGAUCAGAAGGUCGGCAGUUCAAAUCUGCUUGACAGUGGUGAGCUCCCGAUGCUCUGUCCCAGCUUCUGCCAAUCUAGCAGUUUGAAAGCACACCAGUGCAAGUAGAUAAAUAGGUAUGGCUGUGGCAGGAAGGUAAACUGCAUUUCUGUGUGCUCUGGCACGCAUCACAGUGUUCCGUUGCACCAGAAGCGGUUUAGUCAUGCAGGCCACAUGACCUGGAAAGCUGUCUGUGGACAAAUGCUGACUCCCUCGGCCUGAAGCAAAAUGAGUGCUGUACCCCAUAGUCAACUUUGAUUGGACUUAACUGUCCAGGGGUUCUUUACCUUUACCUUACCUGGCUGCCUGUUGACAUCAUCUUUGGAGGUACUCCUAGGUGUCUGGGAAUGUUCCCAGAAACAUUUUGUGUUGGGACAAGGCAGAAGACCUUCUUGGUGGUUGCUUUGAAACUCCCUUUCAGUGGAAUCUGGUUUACAACCCUUCUUUAAUGACUUCCUAAUUUUUAAGAAGACGUUUUGAUUUUAAAGGGUUCUUUUAAAGGGCUCUCUAGUUUUAACUGUCUGUGGAUUUUGAAUAUUUUUUAUUGUUGCUGUGCUGUGUUAGGUCUUGUUAUUAUUUUAGUGUUUAAUAAUGUUCUAAAAUGUUAACUUGUUCUUUGUUAGCUAUAUUGAGAUAUGCUGGGGGAAGGUGGGGCAUAAAAGUUUUAAAUAAAUAAGAAGAAUAGAGUACAAAGAGCUAUGUUUAGAAUCAGGGAAACUGCUCCACAGAUGAAUGGAUCAGUGCAUGUCAAUUUCACAUGUGACCAUUUUAAAAUCUAUUAUCGAUUUCAUGUGUGCUCAUUAGCAAGUUUAUUCCAUCCUGCCUUCCUCCCAUUAAUUUGUGAUUUUGUUUGAAGUACACAUCAAGAUCCAUGUUUGAGCGCACAUUUAAUCACAAAAUACUUUAUGCAUUUCUAAAUAUAUUUAGUUGCAUCCAAGUAAGUUUGACUUGGAGUAGACCCAUUGGAAUUAAAUUAUUUCCAUUCACUUCAGUUAUUCAGCUUUUAGCAUGUCCGAUGCUAGAGAGAACCUUUUAUUCUAAAAUAGUUUUACACCUUUUGCUACAUUUUUUGAGCCAAGGCAUGUGUCAUAAAAUUCAGAGAAGUGUGAAAUCUGAAGGGCCAUGGAUUAGUCCGAAAGGUAUGAAUUUGGUUGGCUCACUUAAAAAAAAUAAAAUAAAAAGGUGAAUGGAAUGAAAUUCUCCUCCAUCCUUAUACCAGGUAAAGUAAAUUGAAAUUCAUUGCAUGGGCUUCCAGUGUGCAUACAACGACCAUGAACUACCCAGACAAAUUGAACAGCAAAAUGCCUUGUUUGUUGAAACUUCAUGGCCUUUCUUUUCCUUCCUCGGGCUUGUGAGUUUUGUCCAACACAGGGCUGCCUUAAAUAAGCCAUUACCAUCAAAUCCUGUGACUUAUGAACAAUUAAUUUACUGUUGCAGCAUCACCACGGGUUUCUGCAAUAUUUACUUGUGACUUGCAUGAUUCAUCUAGCGCUGCUGGAGUUUAAGUGCCAGUAAAGGAGCGAGGACACAGAUGAGUUCAAAUAUAUUCAAUCUCUUGUAAUAUUGCCAAGGAAUAUUGAAAUAUUGUUUAGCUACACUAAUAUGCAAUUGGUCAGCAUGUGGGGUUGAACAACAAGAGAGCAGCCAUUUCAUAGAAUCAGAAGGGCUGGAAGGGUCUCUUUGGGGAACUGUAGUGAUGAAAUCCUAAGAAUUAUGUUAGGGAAUCCCCCACUUAUGCUUCUUGGAACAACAUUUCUUAGUUUCACUGUAGAAAUGGAAUUAUGCUAGAGUAGUUUAAGACUGUGAUGCAGAUAUGCCCAGUGGUGUAUUUUUUGAUUUUGACAUUGUUUGCAGUUUGAUCAUCCAUCUAGGGAUGACCAAAUUCGUCAGUGUCAGUUUCUCACUUUUACUUUCCUAAGCUCAGUUCAUCCCUUUUCUUCAGCAGUUCACAACAUGCAUGUUUGUAUGCAUUACUUCUAAUAUAUGCAUUUUUGCAAGCAUUCUCCCCUAAUCGUUAUGCAUUAUGUGUGUCUGUGUGGGUGGGUGUGUAAUUUGUGCACAUGUACGCCUACCACAGGAUUAUUAUCAUUUCUGUACACCAUUUUUUGUUUGUGGGGCUAGCAUUGGAAAAUUUUGAGUUGUGUAUUGGUCUGGGAAUUGUGAAUUAGGUAGUUUCCCAUUACAAGGCAAAUUGAAUGGAUUUCUCCUCUGUCCUUACAUCCCUUUCCUGCAUAAUAC